Long non-coding RNA from Solanum stenotomum, 281 nucleotides. RefSeq lists it as uncharacterized. The transcript has 3 exons. The record is from RefSeq and is a predicted model, not a curated record. NCBI's taxonomy places the organism in Eukaryota, Viridiplantae, Streptophyta, Magnoliopsida, Solanales, Solanaceae.
CUAGGAUCGCCAUCAAUUGCAUCUCAUGUUGCAACCAAAUUAACUUCCACAUGUACUGCAAACAAAGGAACAACUGAUUCAAUCAAGGGUAACUGUUUAUAUAGUUCUAGCUGAAGGAAAUGACAAACAUGACCUACCUAAAAAGGCAAAUAAAAGAUCAUGAGAUUAGACCAGAUAGACAAACGUUGUAUUCGAGUGCCACUUGGGCCAAGGAGGUUGAAGCACUGGCUAGGCAGUUUUUGCAUAAUCCCUACAAGGUAAGUACUGUAGCCAUUUUAUAA